ACACACACCCCGCCCCCCACACUCUAUGCAUAUAUGUGCCCGGGGCUACAGACAUAUAGUGCAGAUCUUUUACAAACUAAAACCUGCUCCCCCUCCCUUAGAUAUCCCAUAAUAACCACUCUUUGCCAACUUCUUCACUCUUGGCCUUACUGCUAACAUCCCAUAAUAACUCAUUACCCCUCCCUCCCCUUGGCCAUCCCAUAAUAAGCACCCCUCCCAGCACUUCAGCCUCAUAUCCCAUAAUAUUCAACCCAUCCCCCACCGACAGCCCAUAAUAACCACCCUCAGUUUGAUAUCCCAUGAUUGUCAGAAACUCACCCACCCCAUACUACAACAACGGACACUGGGCCUCCUCCCACACGGAUCCCGUAAUAAUCAGUCUCCCACUUUCUAUACUGAUAUCCCAUAAUAUCCAACCCCCCCAGAGCUGCCCUCAGUCCCUGCACUAGGGUUGAGAUUCUAGAUGCUCACUUUACCACCCACAGCCUUCCCAGUCUCUUUCUAGCUCCAUGGUCCAUAAAUUACCAUUCCUCCUAGCAAAGAGAUACUCACUAAUGAUCAGCAGCUCUGCUGUCACCCCACAAAUGGACAUCUAAAUCUCCUCCACUAACACUGGGAAAAUGUCCUAUCAUUUACUCUAUCUACUCUCGCAUCCCAUAAUUUCAAAAAGCCCACGAUACCAUAAUUGUCCCAACACAACCCAGUGCCACAUCCCAUAAUACUUCUGCUACACUCCAUCACCGCACACAGGUCUGGCCAGACAUCCCCUAAUUGUCACAACCUCCCCCACCUCUAGAAGUUGUCAGGCUCUUCCAACUAGAGCAGAGAGGGUGUGGCAAACUGCUAACUGCCCUGUCCCCACUAGCACACACUUUAGUCCCUUCCUGGGCAAUAGGAGCAUUCUGGGCUCUCAAAGUUCAGGACCCCCCGGACUCCCUAGCUCAUCAUUUGCAGACACUCAGGAACCAAGAGCCAACCUCGAGCCCCAACAAACCCCACCAAAUCCAGAAGUCCUCUACACUGCCACCUUCAAGUCCAGGCAGCCUCCGUGGACAGAUAGCCUAUCACCACCAUGGACUGAGAGUCCUCUACCAUGCCUUGCUCUGUACUCACCAUCACUAAAGUUCAUUCGACAUACCCUUGACAGAGUACUAACAAGGUAAAGAGCUAGCUACUUACCGACCGAGGAUACCAAGACACAGGUGCCUUCCUUCAAGAAACAGUCACAGCUGGGAACAGUAUCACAUGCCAGUAACCUCAGCACUCAGAGAACACACGAGAUGAUCAAGGGAUCAAGGCCAUACUCUGCUACUCAGUGAAUUCAAGGUCAGCCUAGGCUACAGUAAAAACAAGUCUCGGAUAAUUAUGAUUUAUUUAUUUAUUACCAGCACCGUGCUCU
Molecule: long non-coding RNA, 1399 nt
Filed under: Mus spicilegus (steppe mouse)
Lineage: Eukaryota; Metazoa; Chordata; Mammalia; Rodentia; Muridae
Description: lncRNA (ENSMSIG00000006330.1)
Source: RNAcentral